This 74-nucleotide transfer RNA is filed under the name Rheum officinale. Its description in RNAcentral is "tRNA-Pro". The stretch from base 18 to 74 matches the Rfam family "tRNA", at positions 1 to 54 of the family's 71-position model. From Rfam's summary of the family: Transfer RNA (tRNA) molecules are approximately 80 nucleotides in length. RNAcentral also lists the same sequence under 1 other name. The record is from RNAcentral. Lineage: Eukaryota; Viridiplantae; Streptophyta; Magnoliopsida; Caryophyllales; Polygonaceae.
ACUGUAAACCUAUUAAAAGGGAUGUAGCGCAGCUUGGUAGCGCGUUUGUUUUGGGUACAAAAUGUCACGGGUUC